GGCGAGGCUUAUCCAUUGCACUCCGGAUGUGCUGACCCCUGCGAUUUCCCCAAAUGUGGGAAACGUGACUGCAUAAUUUAUGGUAGUGGGGGGUUA
Molecule: small nuclear RNA, 96 nt
Filed under: Sus scrofa (pig)
Lineage: Eukaryota; Metazoa; Chordata; Mammalia; Artiodactyla; Suidae
Description: U1 spliceosomal RNA (ENSSSCG00060062929.1)
Rfam family: U1 spliceosomal RNA
About the family: U1 is a small nuclear RNA (snRNA) component of the spliceosome (involved in pre-mRNA splicing). Its 5' end forms complementary base pairs with the 5' splice junction, thus defining the 5' donor site of an intron.
Source: RNAcentral